RNAcentral lists this ribosomal RNA (765 nucleotides) under Polycauliona sp. S39572. RNAcentral's name for it is "SSU rRNA". It matches the Rfam family "Bacterial small subunit ribosomal RNA", at positions 348 to 1218 of the family's 1533-position model. The record is from RNAcentral. Lineage: Eukaryota; Fungi; Ascomycota; Lecanoromycetes; Teloschistales; Teloschistaceae.
ACAGCUCUUGMAGAUGUAUAGCAAUAGCUAUUUGCACUAAAAAUGUUUAGUGUGAAAUCGACUAUGUCGAAUAAAAUUCUGGGUAGGAUUAUGAUAAUGACAUUAGCUAUUCAUAAGUCUUGACCAAAUUACGUGCCAGCAGUCGCGGCAAUACGUAGAAGACAAGUGUUAUUCAUCUUUAAUAGGUUUAAAGGGUACUUAGACGGUAAAUAAAGCCUUUAAAGGGGACUAGUUUGCUAGAGUUUUAUAUGAAGGGGUUUUAAAGUACUGCUGGUGUAGAGAUGAAAUUCAGUUAUACCUUACAUGGCACAGGUUAAGGCGAAGGCAUCUUCUUAUGUAAAAACUGACGUUGAAGGACGAAGGCUUUGUGUCUCGAACAGGAUUAGAUACCCUAGUAGUCUAAGCAGAAAAUGAUGAAUGUCAUAGAUUAGAUGUAAUUUGAUCUAUAAAUGAAAGUGUAAGCAUUCCACCUCAAGAGUAAUUUGGCAACAUUGGAACUGAAAUCAUUAGACCGUUUCUGAAACCAGUAGUGAUGUAUGUUGUUUAAUUUGAUAACCCGCAAAAAACCUUACCACAACUUGAAUAGAUAUAUUUUAUCAUACAAGCGCUGCACGGCUGUCUUUAGUUAAUGUCGUGAGACUUUGGUUAGUUCCAUUAAAUUAACGUAAACCCUUAUUUUAUUUUUAUAUAAAGUAGUUCACCGCUAUAUUGGAUGUGAUAACAGGGAUCAAGACAAGUCAUCAUGGCCUAAAUAUUGUGGCUAUA